Anas platyrhynchos (mallard) is the source of this 1996-nucleotide long non-coding RNA. RefSeq lists it as uncharacterized. The record is from RefSeq and is a predicted model, not a curated record. NCBI's taxonomy places the organism in Eukaryota, Metazoa, Chordata, Aves, Anseriformes, Anatidae.
GGGCACAGUGGGGAUUUGGGGCUGAGCAGCACUGGCCACAUUUUGGCCAGGCUGGGCUGGAGCAGGGGGCAGGAGGGCAGUGAUGAGACACAAGGUACAGCUGUAGGGGCUCAUUUAGGGGGAUUUACAGCACCUGGCUAGAAGAGAAGAUUCCCACACUCACCUAAGCCCUGCAGGGCUGUCUGCUUUGGAUGCUGUAUCAGACUGUGGCCUUCUCCUGAGCGGCUUUGUUCUCCUCCCCGGUGCCGUGGCGGACAGUUUUCCUCUCCCCGUGGAAAGUUUGAAGAAAGACCAGCCCUGCUCGCCUGCUUCCCCUUGUGUUGCGGUUGCUGACCCCACACUGGGUGGCAAGAUGCAGUGGGAUGCAGCAGGCGGUGUUCUGAGCACCACACAGCCCCGUGGGUGAUGGGAGCCUUCACUUCCCACAUCCUUUUGGCUCAGGCUCGGGGGCUUUGUGGCAGUGCCACGUGCCAGUGAGGCUACUGUGAAUUGGCACCGCCGGGGUUUCCCCGGCCACACCAGCGGUUUGGGCUGCACAGAUGAAGCUGGUUUUUGGUGUUUUCUUUCCUGGUCUGAUUUCACACUGAUGGUGGUUUGGUGCCAAACCCUACUGCUUGGAGGAUGCUGGUGCUGCCUCCAUUAUAUUGCUUGUGCAAAGGGGACAUUUGGGACCUGGCAUAACAGAAGGGGAAAAAUGGGCCCCAUGUUGAGUGGGAGAAUAGGAUGGAGGCUUUCUGGGUAAGGCCUGGAUUUGGCUUUGUAUUGGCACAAGAGGGGAAAUGUUCCUUCCAAAAGGUUCGGGGGUACCUGGGUCUGAAUGUGGUCCUGUUCUGGCUCCGCAGUAAUUCCCUGAAGCACCACUUGUGCUCAAACGUGCUCCCUUGCAGACCUCAGUGCUUUCCACCCACGGUCAGUGUGCCUUGCUUGUUUUUCUGCUUUCCUGCUCUGACUGAUGUGCUUGGAGAGGAAGAGCAGGGCUGGGCACUCCUGCAUGCUGAGAACAGCCAUCCUCAGCCGUUCUCCUGUGCCGCUGGUCUGCUGGCUCUGAGCAGCAGCCGUGGUCAAGCCUCAGACUCACUUCAGGCACAGGUUGAGAACGUGGCAUCCUCACCAAAGAGUUAAAAAUACCAGCAUGCAGGAGGUCUUGUCCAAGUGGUAGACCAAAGGAAAUCCUGUCACCACACCUAAUCCCCAGAAGAAAAAAAAAAAAGUCUCAGGCAGGAAAUGACUUAUCUACAGCAACCAACUGGUGCAAUGGAGAAGAGCAAUUUCUCCAUAAAGCAUCCCUGUUAGCAGAGUCCAUGUGGGACUUGAGGGAUGGAAGUGCAUCACCCUGCCCCAGGACCACCUCCCUCCCUGCUGUGGGGCCAUGCAAUGGUGGGAGUGACAGUCCAACUGCCAGCGUGACCAUUCACACAAGCACCCCCCGGUGCCCUGUAGACUGGGGGUGGGUGGGUGAUGAAGCUGUGGUGUUUUGAAAUCUUUUCUCAAAUCAGGAAUGCCCAGAGCAAGUGUUGGCUUUGCUUUCAUUCUAAUGUUUGCUGAGAGCUCAGUGAGGUUUUCGUAUGUACCCUCUUGCUUCCCCGGGUGCAGCCCCAGAGAGAGGUGAGACAGACACAAAGGAAGCAGCACUGAGGGCUAAGAAGCAAUUUUUAUCCUUCUUUAUUUGUUGAAAAUGUCAAUUAAAAAACUGUUCAAAAUAAAAACAUGUUAGAAAAGUUGAACUUGCAUAAGUAGUUACAGUAAAUAAACCUACAUGACAAAGAUAAACUGGAAGGCAGCUGACACAACAUCCAUCUAAAGACGGACUCACUGGAACCUAUUUACAAAGCACUGUAAACAAAGUAAAUAUGGAAACAUUGCUGUCCAUCUGGCAUGGCUUCUUUUCCUUUUUAUUUUCUUUUCUUUUUUUUUGGCUUCUAGCUCUUGACAAGUGCCUGAUCCAAAGUGUCCCAGUGUGCCCUGCAUCACAUUACAUCUUAGAAACAUGCAUAUG